UACGGGGGGGGUAAGCGUUGUUCGGAAUUACUGGGCGUAAAGGGCUCGUAGGCGGCCAACUAAGUCAUACGUGAAAUCCCUCAGCUUAACUGGGGAACUGCGUGUGAUACUGGAUGGCUUGGAUGUGGGAGAGGGAUGCGGAGUUCCAGGUGUAGCGGUGAAAUGCGUAGAUAUCUGGAGGAACACCGGUGGCGAAGGCGGCAUCCUGGACCAUUAUUGACGCUGAGGAGCGAAAGCCAGGGGAGCAAACGGG
RNAcentral lists this ribosomal RNA (253 nucleotides) under uncultured bacterium. RNAcentral's name for it is "partial 16S ribosomal RNA". It matches the Rfam family "Bacterial small subunit ribosomal RNA", at positions 524 to 776 of the family's 1533-position model. The record is from RNAcentral.